This 226-nucleotide long non-coding RNA is filed under the name Elaeis guineensis (African oil palm). RNAcentral's name for it is "long non-coding RNA (EGUI_LNC058957)". The record is from RNAcentral. Lineage: Eukaryota; Viridiplantae; Streptophyta; Magnoliopsida; Arecales; Arecaceae.
UGGGUUGGUUAGAUUUUUCUUUUCGUCGAUCUUUGAAAGUUUGACGUCACCUUAACAGAUGUUUUGAAUAAGAUGGUAGCAAUGCAAAAUGCUUAGUAAGCUAAUGGAACUUCGGCUUUUUGGUAUGAGCUAUGGCUCUGGUGCUAUACAAUACAGCAGAACCAUCAUUGGAGAGUACCACUUCUAGCUUGCCAGUGAACUUCUACGAUCACAUAGCUUUCUUGCA